CUGGUGCCAGAGGUUGGUGAGGGGAGGAAGCCAAGCCUGGGAGUGAGCUGGCUGGCUGGCUGCUUGUGGGAACACCAGGAGGAAAGAAUGCCCACCGCUGAGGCAAGAGACUGAUUGGUGUGCCUCACACACAAAGCAGGUGGUCCAUAGAGCUUUGUUCCAGUGGAACCGAAUGUUCUUCUUGCUCAUUCUCUCCAGACUACGGGUGAGGAAAACGGGAGUCACAGAGAGACAAACGAGCAAGCCACAUGCCAGGAGCAGACUCAGGAAACCUGUCUCUGAGCGCAGUGGAGGCCAACAGCAAAACCCUAUCUCUCUGAGAUGAGGCGACAUCAGAAGAAAAGUGGAUCCCAUGGCUGCUGUGUCACUAGCCUGUGACUUUGGGUGAAUCACGUCAGCACUCUGGGCCUGUGUUUUGUCAUCAUUCAAAUAGGGCAGUCCUCACAUGUCAUGAGCUGAGCAUGUGAGACUGGAUUUACAUAGUUGAUCUGAGAGCCAAGGCCCUGGCUUGCCACACUGUGGUCCCAACGUUGGGAGGAACGUGAGAAAAUAAAAGGAUGCUUUGGACAGAAGUGGCCAUCUGUGAUUUUCAGCAUAACUCCCAAUGCCUGUCACUGUGCCGACAUUACACAAUUAGAGAUAAAUAUCUGUGGAUACUUGGGGGUCUGGAGUUACCUGUUAAAUGAAAGGGAGAGUGGAGAAGAGUGAGAAGAGUGGAGUCCUGCGAGAGAGGGACCCAGGGCAGAAGACUGGAGAAAGGUGGCAGGCAGGGCUGCAAAGCACAAGG
Molecule: long non-coding RNA, 787 nt
Organism: Canis lupus familiaris (dog)
Lineage: Eukaryota; Metazoa; Chordata; Mammalia; Carnivora; Canidae
Exons: 3
Source: RefSeq, a predicted model, not a curated record